GCCUUCGUAGCUCAGUGGUAGAGCACUUCCUCGGUAAGGAAGGGGUCACGAGUUCAAGUCUCGUCGAGGGCU
Molecule: transfer RNA, 72 nt
Filed under: Candidatus Ancillula kalotermitis
Lineage: Bacteria; Bacillati; Actinomycetota; Actinomycetes; Bifidobacteriales; Bifidobacteriaceae
Description: tRNA-Thr
Rfam family: tRNA
About the family: Transfer RNA (tRNA) molecules are approximately 80 nucleotides in length. Their secondary structure includes four short double-helical elements and three loops (D, anti-codon, and T loops).
Source: RNAcentral